AGUCUCGCUGACUUUAAGAGAAACGAAAGCCUUACGCACAGUCAGUUUGGUGUAAUGGAAGCCUCACUGAACUAGAAACCUGAGGAUGAUGCCGUCUGCUGAUUACAUUCUCUGUCACUCAGAACAACUGAGGCCAUUUUCUGUUCUGUAAAAUGGGAACUAAAAUACUUUCUGUAUCUCUUUUGUGGGGUAGUUGUAAGGAUCAAAUAUAGUAAAGAGUGAAAACACAUUAAUCUUAAGUGACACAAAGUUAUUUAAAGAAUGGAUUAGUGCUAUCCCAAUUAUUGACUUUUUUCCCCCUACGGUGGUCAUUUUUCUUUUUGAUUUUCAUUGAUGAUCUCUGCCCUCACUUCCUCUGAAUAAAGCCUUGGAACUUUUUUCAUAAUUGGAUACAAUUAGAAAGAAUCCCACAUCAAAUAGUGAGAUGCCUUAGCUAUUAUUAUUACGUUGUAAAAUGCCAAAGAAAACCAUUUAGGCAUGUGGGCCCCAUUUAGGGAUUUCUGUUUUAUAAGUCACGUUGGUGUAGAAGUGUGUGAGUAGAACUCCGCAAAUUAUACUUAGCAUUUACUCCUAAGUAAGCUGGUAAAUCUACGUGAAAGGAAGCCCAAGUCUCCAUUCUUGCUUCCAGUUCUCAUGCUUAUAAAGCGAACUGUGUCAGCCAAUUCCAGCAAAGCCAAAGGGGGAAGAUCUUUUUUGUAAGCUUCCUUUAACUGGCAACAUUUAGUGCACUACACUGAUAUCCCAACAACAUCGCAACGGCAACCUCAGGCAAGCCCUGCGCAUACCUUAACUUCCAGGCCUGGGCAGAGAACUUGGCUUGCGCCACCAGGAGUUAUCACGUGAGCUAAUUACAAUGCUAAUUAGCCCAGUUUACCGGGACUGCUGUGCAUUUGUACACGAGGGUUCUUUGUUUGAUCUGCUACAUCAUAAGCUUACCAGCACGGAGGGAUAGCAUGUAUCGUUGAACGUGGAAGAACACACCUUCAUCUGUAUUAAUGAAGAAAACUACUGAAAACCAACAGACUAAUUAAGGGUAAUGAUGAACAAUUUUGAUCAGCAAUUAUUUUUUUAAUACCGAAGUUCGCUCCUGGAAAGAGUAGAAUGGGGAAGUUCAUCUUCCAGCUUUCUCCCCAGAAAGGUAGUGAGAGAGAGAUCCUGCUUCAUUUCCAUUUCUUCUCCCACAAACUGUUUUAACAUAUAAUUGAACGGAUGCCUUUAUUUCAAAAGAAAAAAAAAUAAUUAUAGAGCUUGUUGGGAUCAUUUUCUGAAGAGAGGACAUUAUGCGUGCAUGAAUUCCAUCGGUGAUCUGAGGAGGAGCAGGAUGCUUGGACCAUUACCCAUCAUUGUCGAACAGCAGAGUAAUUAAUUGGGCAAAUACGUCCAGAUCUGGUGAAUUCACAUGCACAGUAACUGGGCAGCAGCAACACACACUCUUUUACUGUGAAUAAAAUAGCAAUAGUUUUAUGUGCCUUUGUGUUAUGUAAAUUUUUUUUUUUUUUCCUCUUGGCUUUAUCCAUUCCAGAUAUUUUGUCCAUCUUUAUGUACUCAUUUGCAAAGAGGUUGCUUAUUACAAAGGAAAAAGAUCUGCGGUUGAGCAAGUUUGAGUUCCAUGUCUCUGUUUAUUUUUAAAGGAAUGAAUUGGAUUCAUUAUUCCUUCACUAAUUUUUAAAAUAAUUUAAUAUUUUCACUAAAAUGGGUUAAAUGAGCAUGAGGAAAUAUUUUUUUUUAAAUAGUUCCAGGAAUGGGCGUGCUUCUAAAAUAAUUAUUAAGGCCUUCUAAUUACCAUACAAUAUUAAUUCAAAAAUUUAAUUUUUUUAUUUAAAUGUCAUCUACAGAGGUAAAAAAUAAGACACAGCAUUUGUCCUGGAGAAACUAAUGAAGAAUAUUUCAUUACCAACCUCUUAUAAUAGUCCUCUGUAAAGUAUAGACAAUCAAACAAUCUAACACUGUUUAUUUGAACAUCAAAAAGUGGACAAAUAUUUAGAGGAAAAAAUAUGAUUGUUUUAAUGCAAAUCAUCUCUGAUUGCUAAGUCCAAAUGUAAUAAGAAAGCUUAGGUUUUGAUUUAAAGGAAGUCAAUUUUCCAGCAUCUCCACUUCUGAAGAGGUUAAAUAAUGAUUUUUUUUUUUUUUCCGAUCACAUUUUAAUCCAGAUAACAGAGGACUUGCACUCCUAAUUCAGACUUUCUGGUAAAGCUCAGCUUGUCACAAUGUAUAGCUUUCUUUCCUUUGAUAAGGUCAGUUUGCCAAAAAGAACAAAGUGCAUAUGAGUAAUACAUUACUCAACCACUUGUAUACAUACAUCUAUUUUUCUUACCAGGUUUCACUAUUCAGAAAGGUACAGACAUGGCACCAUGAUAAAAAGGGUCAUUUAAAAGACUUCGCAGAGGCUCUGUACUGUGAAGGAUUGAAUUUUCACUUGAAUGCCUACAUUUUCACAUCUUUUUCUUUGCAGAAAUAUUCCUUUUGAAUGGCAGACUGCAAUUGGGUAGGUUUUUUUUUUUUUUUUAAGUCACUGACCAGGAAUAUAUAAAAUAUUAGAAGGCAUUUGUCCCAGUGGAAGAACACAGUUCACUACCAGGUACCAGGUGGUUAUUAAGAAAGUUAUACAACUUUGUCUCUUCAGAUUGAAGAGCUCCUUCAGAUAAAAGGCUUAAGUUCAGUCAAGGUGGAAGGAACACUAACGUCUGCCACUUCUAAAUGACAGACAAUUUAAAUAACUUGUGAAAUUAUUAGCCUCAAAGCCAUCUACCUAGUAAUUUUUCAUAAUCACAUCCAAUGUGUAUUCUUAGGAACACACAAGCAGACUCCAGUUUAUCUUUCUAUCUACUUCAACAUUUAAUCAUAACAUUUUGAGAAAUAUGCUCAUGACUAAUUUUAAAACCUUUAAUUUUUCUUUAGAGGUUUUAUAUUUCCCAAAUAUACUUAAAGGGGUGGGGAGGAGAGAAAAGUCUAUUAAAUACACUAAAACUUUUUAAUCUUGGUUAUUGGAUUCCCUAAGGAGUUAGUGUAAAUUCAGUUCAGUUGAAUGAAACAAAUAUUUCUUCAUCUCCUACUAUCAGUAUGGUAUUGUGCUGGGAUUAAGGGGAGAUACAAGAAUGAAUAAAGUAUCUUCUCCACUCUUAAGGAUUCUAGAAUCUAUUAAAAAAAAGUAAGGUGCACAACCAUAAUAAAAGCUAGAAUAUGAUGAAUAAGAAUAGAAAACCACAAAAUUCUGUCAGAAUAUAUCAAUGAAAUUUUUUCUGGCUGAAUCAAGGAAGACAUCAUAGAGGAGAAAAGAUGCAUUCGACUGCACUACAGUGGAGAAGGACAGGAAUAGUCUGAUAGAAUUGCUGCAUUCUAGAAAGGAAAAUGGCAAGAGAAAAAGCAUCAAGGUGGAAAAAAUGCAGGAGUUUUGGUGUGACACGGAGUCCAAUAUAAGCGGGACAGAGGGGGAAUAUAAGUUGCUUGAGGAGGAGCGAUGAAAAUCAAGUGUGAACCGCUAUGUUUACACUUGACAUUACUAAGGAGUUUGCUUGUGAUUCUACAGGCAAUUGUGAGCUUUAGAGCAACAGAAUGUCUAACAGAACUGUGAUUUGUGUAGCUUGUAAAAUACUGUUUCUUUCUUCUCAUGUAUAAUUUAUUUGUUUUUUCCUAUACUGUUAAUGAUUUUUCUUGAACUUCAAUUCUAUUAUUUCCCUUUCCUGUUGGAACUGAACCAGAUGACUAUAGAUAUCACGGACAAUAUAUCCCCCACACAAGUAUUCAUGUCCAAACUAAAUUGUUAUGAAACUUCACAGUAACAAUAAUGAUUUUAUGACACUAAGUCUAGUGGAAAUUGUGUAUUGUUAUUUUAUAAAAGUACUUAGAAUUACUUCUGAGUUAGGUGGAAUCAGAAAUAAAUUUCUUGGAAAGUGAAACAAGGAUACCUUGUUCAUAUUGUAUAACAAAACUAGAUGAAAAGGUAUUUUGGGGGCUUUUAAUAAAUAAACUUGCAAACCUA
Non-coding RNA from Macaca mulatta (Rhesus monkey), 3979 nucleotides. Lineage: Eukaryota; Metazoa; Chordata; Mammalia; Primates; Cercopithecidae. The record is from RefSeq and is a predicted model, not a curated record.